RNAcentral lists this unclassified non-coding RNA (293 nucleotides) under uncultured fungus. Its description in RNAcentral is "partial contains small subunit ribosomal RNA, internal transcribed spacer 1, and 5.8S ribosomal RNA". The stretch from base 1 to 73 matches the Rfam family "Eukaryotic small subunit ribosomal RNA", at positions 1759 to 1831 of the family's 1831-position model. Lineage: Eukaryota; Fungi. The record is from RNAcentral.
GCAAACUUGGUCAUUUAGAGGAAGUAAAAGUCGUAACAAGGUUUCCGUAGGUGAACCUGCGGAAGGAUCAUUAAUAUUUGGAUCGGGUUUAACAUUGUUUUCGUCCUCUUUGUAUUCAAUGGUAAACCUUAUCCAAAUAUAGAGUUAUAUUUACUCUUUUUUUUUUAAAAAAAAGGAGCAAGAUGAUAUAUAUUUAAAACCCAACCCAUAAAAUAUGUAUAUUUUGAAUGAUAAAAUUAAAGAUCACUUUCAACAACGGAUCUCUUGGCUCUCGCAUCGAUGAAGAACGCAGC